UAACCUCGUGAGAGCAAAGCUGCCCGCAAGGGUGGCGCUGAAAGAGAGGCCUGCGUCCGAUUAGCUAGUUGGUGAGGUAAUGGCUCACCAAGGCGAUGAUCGGUAACUGGUCUGAGAGGACGACCAGUCACACUGGGACUGAGACACGGCCCAGACUCCUACGGGAGGCAGCAGUGGGGAAUAUUGGACAAUGGGGGCAACCCUGAUCCAGCGAUGCCGCGUGGGUGAAGAAGGCCUUCGGGUUGUAAAGCCCUUUAGGUUGGGAAGAAGGACAAUUGGUUAAUACCCAGUUGUUUUGACUGUACCGACAGAAUAAGCACCGGCAAACUCUGUGCCAGCAGCCGCGGUAAUACAGAGGGUGCGAGCGUUAAUCGGAUUUACUGGGCGUAAAGGGCGCGUAGGCGGUUUAGUGAGUGUGAUGUGAAAGCCCCGGGCUUAACCUGGGAAGUGCAUCGCAAACGACUGAACUGGAGUAUAAGAGAGGGUGGCGGAAUUUCCGGUGUAGCGGUGAAAUGCGUAGAGAUCGGAAGGAACGUCAAUGGCGAAGGCAGCCACCUGGCUUAAUACUGACGCUGAGGCGCGAAAGCGUGGGGAUCAAACAGGAUUAGAUACCCUGGUAGUCCACGCUGUAAACGAUGACAACUAGAUGUUGUUUGGGGAACCAAGCAGUAUCGAAGCUAACGCGAU
This 687-nucleotide ribosomal RNA is filed under the name uncultured Gammaproteobacteria bacterium. Its description in RNAcentral is "bacterial SSU rRNA". It matches the Rfam family "Bacterial small subunit ribosomal RNA", at positions 188 to 861 of the family's 1533-position model. Lineage: Bacteria; Pseudomonadati; Pseudomonadota; Gammaproteobacteria. The record is from RNAcentral.